This 357-nucleotide unclassified non-coding RNA is filed under the name uncultured fungus. Its description in RNAcentral is "sequence contains ITS1". The stretch from base 1 to 102 matches the Rfam family "5.8S ribosomal RNA", at positions 50 to 154 of the family's 154-position model. Lineage: Eukaryota; Fungi. The record is from RNAcentral.
AAGCUGUGAUAAUUAAUAUGAAUUGCAGAACCCUGUGAAUCAUCGAAAUUUCGAACGCAUAGCACCCAAGGUUCUGCCUUGGGUACAUCUGGCUGAGUGACGCAUUUAAAUAUUGUUUCUCACCCCCCUUUUGGGGGUGUGGUGACAGAGUUUGCAGACGCGAGCCUCUCGCUACUGUAAAAUGAUUUUGAGCGGACACAGCAUUUUUUUACCGUCCAACAAAAGGUCUUCUGACCGAAAGGCUUUAAAAAAAUGGAUUUUGCUGUUCUGCUCGCUUCAAAAACCGAAAGAAAAAAGAAAUUUUUUUUUUCUCUUUUAUACGUCCUCAGCUCAGGUGAGAUUACCCGCUGAACUUAA